GAUGAACGCUGGCGGCGUGCCUAAUACAUGCAAGUCGAGCGAACAGACGAGGAGCUUGCUCCUUUGACGUUAGCGGCGGACGGGUGAGUAACACGUAGGUAACCUACCUAUAAGACUGGGAUAACUUCGGGAAACCGGAGCUAAUACCGGAUAAUAUUUCGAACCGCAUGGUUCGAUAGUGAAAGAUGGCUUUGCUAUCACUUAUAGAUGGACCUGCGCCGUAUUAGCUAGUUGGUAAGGUAACGGCUUACUAAGGCAACGAUACGUAGCCGACCUGAGAGGGUGAUCGGCCACACUGGAACUGAGACACGGUCCAGACUCCUACGGGAGGCAGCAGUAGGGAAUCUUCCGCAAUGAGCGAAAGCCUGACGGAGCAACGCCGCGUGAGUGAUGAAGGUCUUCGGAUCGUAAAACUCUGUUAUUAGGGAAGAACAAACGUGUAAGUAACUGUGCACGUCUUGACGGUACCUAAUCAGAAAGCCACGGCUAACUACGUG
RNAcentral lists this ribosomal RNA (497 nucleotides) under uncultured bacterium. RNAcentral's name for it is "partial 16S ribosomal RNA". It matches the Rfam family "Bacterial small subunit ribosomal RNA", at positions 28 to 507 of the family's 1533-position model. The record is from RNAcentral.